This 253-nucleotide ribosomal RNA is filed under the name uncultured bacterium. RNAcentral's name for it is "partial 16S ribosomal RNA". It matches the Rfam family "Bacterial small subunit ribosomal RNA", at positions 524 to 776 of the family's 1533-position model. The record is from RNAcentral.
UACGUAGGGUGCAAGCGUUAAUCGGAAUUACUGGGCGUAAAGCGUGCGCAGGCGGUUAUGCAAGACAGAUGUGAAAUCCCCGGGCUCAACCUGGGAACUGCAUUUGUGACUGCAUGGCUAGAGUACGGUAGAGGGGGAUGGAAUUCCGCGUGUAGCAGUGAAAUGCGUAGAUAUACGGAGGAACACCGAUGGCGAAGGCAAUCCCCUGGACCUGCACUGACGCUCAUGCACGAAAGCGUGGGGAGCAAACAGG